RNAcentral lists this small RNA (311 nucleotides) under uncultured bacterium. Its description in RNAcentral is "bacterial SSU rRNA". It matches the Rfam family "Bacterial small subunit ribosomal RNA", at positions 51 to 358 of the family's 1533-position model. The record is from RNAcentral.
ACACAUGCAAGUCGAACGGUAACAGGAAGAAGCUUGCUUCUUUGCUGACUAGUCGCGGACGGGUGAGUAAUGUCUGGGAAACUGCCUGAUGGAGGGGGAUAACUACUGGAAACGGUAGCUAAUACCGCAUAACGUCGCAAGACCAAAGAGGGGGACCUUCGGGCCUCUUGCCAUCGGAUGUGCCCAGAUGGGAUUAGCUAGUAGGUGGGGUAACGGCUCACCUAGGCGACGAUCCCUAGCUGGUCUGAGAGGAUGACCAGCCACACUGGAACUGAGACACGGUCCAGACUCCUACGGGAGGCAGCAGUGGG